RNAcentral lists this long non-coding RNA (420 nucleotides) under Vigna radiata. RNAcentral describes it as "long non-coding RNA (VRAD_LNC013359)". The record is from RNAcentral. Lineage: Eukaryota; Viridiplantae; Streptophyta; Magnoliopsida; Fabales; Fabaceae.
CCGGUAUUAGCGGGGGUUUUAACCCCCGGUAUUAGCGGGGGUUUUAACCCACGGUAUUUGCGGGGGUUUUAACCCCCGGUAUUUGCGGGGGGUUUAACCCCCGGUAUUAGCGGGGGUUAAAACCGCCGGUAUUAGCCACAGAAACACAGACACACUCUCACACAAACAAGCAAGCACAAAUACACAUUCACACGCACACACACACAUACACAAACACACAAACACACAGACACAUACACACAUGCAUGCACACACAAACACACACACCUACCACCACAAACACAUACAAACAAACACACACACAUAUUACAGACACACCUGCCCAUACAAACACAUAUAAUACACACACAUACACAAACCUAUACCUACACUUCCAUCCACCUAUACACACAUAUCACCAACAUAAACACACGCAAACAC